GCAAGCAGCCAUAUCACCCUGCAACUCACAGGUGGCAGCCCCCUGAAGCUCAGCGGCUGUGAGCCUGGUCAGUACCUGGAUGGGAGACCUCCUGGGAAAAACUAAGGUUGCUGCUGGAA
RNAcentral lists this ribosomal RNA (119 nucleotides) under Lepisosteus oculatus (spotted gar). The record is from RNAcentral. Lineage: Eukaryota; Metazoa; Chordata; Actinopteri; Semionotiformes; Lepisosteidae.